UGGGGAAUCUUGCACAAUGGGGGAAACCCUGAUGCAGCGACGCCGCGUGAGCGAUGAAGGUUUUCGAAUCGUAAAGCUCUGUCCUAGGGGAAGAUAAUGACGGUACCAUAGGAGGAAGCCCCGGCUAACUACGUGCCAGCAGCCGCGGUAAUACGUAGGGGGCGAGCGUUGUCCGGAAUGACUGGGCGUAAAGGGUUCGCAGGCGGCAUGACAAGUCCGAUGUAAAAGGCGAAAGCUCAACUUUCGUAAGCAUCGGAAACUGUCAAGCUUGAGUGAAGGAGAGGCAAGUGGAAUUCCUAGUGUAGCGGUGGAAUGCGUAGAUAUUAGGAGGAAUACCGGUGGCGAAGGCGACUUGCUGGACUUCAACUGGCGCUGAGGAACGAAAGCGUGGGUAGCAAACAGG
This 403-nucleotide ribosomal RNA is filed under the name bacterium. RNAcentral's name for it is "partial 16S ribosomal RNA". It matches the Rfam family "Bacterial small subunit ribosomal RNA", at positions 355 to 776 of the family's 1533-position model. The record is from RNAcentral.